Molecule: transfer RNA, 77 nt
Filed under: uncultured phage cr126_1
Lineage: Duplodnaviria; Heunggongvirae; Uroviricota; Caudoviricetes; Crassvirales; Steigviridae
Also listed under: 1 other name
Description: crAssphage cr126_1 tRNA-Leu
Rfam family: tRNA
About the family: Transfer RNA (tRNA) molecules are approximately 80 nucleotides in length. Their secondary structure includes four short double-helical elements and three loops (D, anti-codon, and T loops).
Source: RNAcentral
AGCUUAGUGGUGCAACUUGGUAGACACAACAGACUUAAACCCUGUACAAGUGAGGGUUCAACUCCCUCCUAAGCUAC